GAUGCCCACUCUUGCCUCACAGUGCAGACUUUGCCUACCCCUGGGGUAGGAGCAUCACAUUGCUUCUCAUGAUUGUCAUCCCACGCUUCCAGUUGGCUUUGGUGUUGGGUGACUCUCAGGGCGGUGAACCAAUGGUCUCUGAGGGGCUCCUCUGGCAGGCCCAUGGGUUAUGAGGCUCAGCUGAGUAGCUGGCCUUUUUGCUCCAGUCUUUGAGUGAGCUCUCUUAAUGGCUUUUCUAUCACUCAUGAGCUUGAGUCUCAUCACUUGUUGUUUUUUUGUUUUAAAUGGUCACAUCACACUCCUAUGGCGACUCUACUGGGUGACCCAGAAAAUGUGGUCAUUGGUUCCGUCCUGUGAUGUUCAGUGCAUGAUCAGACGUGAGCUCUUUUGGACAGAUUGGAUGCUGUGGUGUCACUUACUGUUGUCAUUAUCCUGACUUUGCACAUAUUCUUGAUAUUCCAGUGGACUAAAGAGGAUGGACAUAGAACUUCCACCUCUGCUGUCCCUAACCUGUUUGUUCCAUUGAACACUAACCCAAAAGAGGUCCAGGAGAUGAGGAACAAGAUUCGAGAGCAGAACUUACAGGACAUUAAGACGGCAGGACCUCAGUCGCAGGUUUUGUGUGGUGUGAUGAUGGACAGAAGCCUUGU
Molecule: long non-coding RNA, 650 nt
Filed under: Rattus norvegicus (Norway rat)
Lineage: Eukaryota; Metazoa; Chordata; Mammalia; Rodentia; Muridae
Description: long non-coding RNA NONRATT010033
Source: RNAcentral